CACAUUUUCACUCCUGAGCUUAUCUCCAGAGCAGGGGAUCCUUGCUCUGACCAGGGCCACAGACAUGGAAGGAAUCUGUCUCAGUGGCCUCCACAGUUCCCUGCAGUCUGUGUUGGAGAUGCUGGCCAUCCUGGACUGGGUUCCUGGAAGCAGACUCUGAGAUGGAGAAGUACAUGUGUAGGAGAUCUGGAAGGAGGAUGGAGGUGAUCCUGGCUGUCUGGGUCAAGGUCACCAAAAUGUAGGAGACUGAGUCAGCAUGGAGGAGGCCAAGGAGCCUAC
This is a long non-coding RNA of Prionailurus viverrinus (fishing cat), 279 nucleotides long. RefSeq lists it as uncharacterized. The record is from RefSeq and is a predicted model, not a curated record. NCBI's taxonomy places the organism in Eukaryota, Metazoa, Chordata, Mammalia, Carnivora, Felidae. The transcript has 3 exons.